This is a long non-coding RNA of Rosa chinensis, 1760 nucleotides long. RefSeq lists it as uncharacterized. Lineage: Eukaryota; Viridiplantae; Streptophyta; Magnoliopsida; Rosales; Rosaceae. The record is from RefSeq and is a predicted model, not a curated record. The transcript has 14 exons.
AUGUUAUAAUGGACUACAAAUAAUGAUAGAGGGAUUGAUCGGACUAGUGCAUUCUACUAAAGCCUCUUCAAGAACUAGAGAAGAUGGCCAAUAUUAUUCUUCAAGCUCUGAAAAUUACUGGACAAAGAGGCAUUAUCAACAAAGGCUGGGGUUGGUAAUUCAGUACAAUCAAAUGAUUCUGUGUACUUAGUGGACAAUUGCCCCCAUGAUGACUCUUCCUCGGAUGCUCUGUUGUGGUCAGGAACGUUACCAUGGCCUGGCUCCCAUGUAUUACCGCGGUGCAGCUGCAGCUGUUAAUUGGUCUAUGAUAUCACAAGCAUGAUUGAUAUUGGUUCCUCCUGCAGACUGUGAAACAGAUAAACCCUAAAUCAUUAUGUCCCAAUAGGGGAGACGCAAACCCCUAUCUCCUUCUCCGGGCGUAUGCGGUUCCACGCCAGUUUUCAUAAGCCAAACCACAGUGAAAACCUGCUCUAGUAUAUCACUCCUGACGGCUGGUUCGCUCUCUCCGGCUCCAAUGAUGGUGAGCUUCGUCUCCUAAAGAUGGAAGCUUUCACCGAAUCUUGGGUUUCUUCUUCAAUCCAAGAAAAACCCAAAGGAGGAGGUAUCGGUAUCGACAGUAGCGAUGGUGUGGCAAAGGGAAAACUGGUGGAAAGGAAGGCUUUAUUGGCAAGUAUGGAAAAUCACUCAUAUAUAUUUGACUACAACACGUCAAAUUUGUUGUUCUCCACAGAGCCUACUGCCCUCCAUGUCUCAACAAGCUUCUCUUCACCACCAAGAAUCCAUUCUCGUUUGCUUUCGACUCCUUGUUCAUUCUGUGCACUUCUCUAGCUCUGGCUUUGUCCCUGUUCGUCGCCCAUGUUGACUCGGCCUCUGCUUUAGGCUAGGUUGAAUUGUUCUAGUGAUGCCGAUUGAAAUUACUCGUGAAUACAUAUUUGAGAUGAGUUUAGAUUAUGCAGUUUUGAUAUGGGCUUGGAUUAUGCUAAGGGAAUCAGUGGAAUUAGGAGUAUAGAUGGAUAUGGGAUUGAGCAAAAUGAAGCUGAAAGGGUAUUGCAUUUGGCACCAAUAGGAAACUCUUGGGUUCUUCAGCUAAGGAAGUCAAAAGAACUAGUGGAGUCACUGAAAGCACAGCUUGUGCCCUAUCAAAGUGGAAGAAGGGAAGGCUUCUUGGAAGGGGGACUUUUGGUCAUGUUUAUGUCAGAUUUAACAUGGGUCGUAAUUCAUGGUGUCCUACUUUUCAUAACAUUGAUUGGAAAGAUAUUUGUGAACCUUGGUUCAGUGGGGGGUGAUCUAGCUUUACGCAGAGAAGGUCAUCUUGAUAAGGUUUCACAUACUACUGCUGGAAGUUAAUUUCUGUGUUGAAGCAAAGGGUGACAAGUUGUUGGCAUCUCAAAAUGCACAGCCGUCAUAGUGGUGGCAGCUAUGUGGCUUAUGCUCGAGCGAACUCAAGACUCCCACCUGAUCAGUAGUACACCUGGUGUGGAAAGAAAGAAGGUGGGCUGGAACAACUUUCUCAAGGAAUCUGAAAAUUUUCUCAUAUGAUGUUCAUGUUGUAUCUCCUCGGAAUUAUUUUGCAUUCGCCUCUUUACUACCUAGUGUUACCUGUGGAACUGCGGAGCCUUGGAGCAUUGUUGAACCAAUUCAUAACAUAGAAAGAUGACUAACUCAGGGCUUUCAAAUCCUUCAAGAUGUUCUGCAAGCAACGUAGACGCAGUUGGAAAGAGAACCAUCUUUAGAAGAUAUCGGAGUAUACAAGAUUUACC